AACGAACGCUGGCGGCAUGCCUAACACAUGCAAGUCGAACGAGACCUUCGGGUCUAGUGGCGCACGGGUGCGUAACGCGUGGGAACCUGCCCUUAGGUUCGGAAUAACUCCCCGAAAGGGGUGCUAAUACCGGAUAAUGUCUUCGGACCAAAGAUUUAUCGCCUUUGGUUGGGCCCGCGUUGGAUUAGCUAGUUGGUAGGGUAAAAGCCUACCAAGGCGACGAUCCAUAGCUGGUCUGAGAGGAUGAUCAGCCACACUGGGACUGGGACACGGCCCAGACUCCUACGGGAGGCAGCAGUGGGGAAUAUAGGACAAUGGGCGAAAGCCUGAUCCAGCAAUGCCGCGUGAGUGAUGAAGUCCUUAGGGUUGUAAAGCUCUUUUACCCGGGAUGAUAAUGACAGUACCGGGAGAAUAAGCUCCGGCUAACUCCGUG
Molecule: ribosomal RNA, 433 nt
Filed under: uncultured bacterium
Lineage: Bacteria
Description: partial 16S ribosomal RNA
Rfam family: Bacterial small subunit ribosomal RNA
Source: RNAcentral